RNAcentral lists this long non-coding RNA (621 nucleotides) under Pan troglodytes (chimpanzee). RNAcentral describes it as "lncRNA (ENSPTRG00000053711.1)". The record is from RNAcentral. Lineage: Eukaryota; Metazoa; Chordata; Mammalia; Primates; Hominidae.
GUGUAAGUUGGACACCACCUGGUCGCACAACUGUAUUGCUGUGCCCUUCUACUCAUGAGCAGUGCUGCCUGGAUGAAACCUCGAAGGGAUUCAAGCAUUUAACUGAGCCAGCUGCCUCCAUCAUGUUCUUAGUGCUUCCUAAGGCCCAAGGGGGUUCAUGAGAGUAGAACUGUGAGCCAACAAUUGAGGGAGGGCUUGAGGGUUUUAGACAGUUGCUUUGAACACUGAUUAGCAGACAAAUAUCUGUGCACAGGGGCAAUGCGGGGCCCCUCGUUGACAUAGAACAAGCCUCUGAGGGCGGACCUCCUGAAUAUAUCAGUAUAGGUCAGGGCAGUAUAAUCUGGAGUUCACUGUGGGGGCUCAGCACCUAGAACAGGAAAAAAAAAAAAAAAACCCUGAGGCUGGACUGGUCAUUGGAAUUGGGAUGGGAAGCACGGAGAAGACCGUGGUCCAGCGCCCUCUGAAGUCAUUGGCGACCGCGAUGGAAGUAGUUGGGGGUCGACAGUAAAGUUGGAGACUGAAAUUAUUUGAGCUCUUAAAAUGGGAUAAUAAGGUAACUUUCCUCCUCCUGGUAUGAGCUCAUUUAAUUGUAAAGAUCUUAAUAAAUUCAGCCUGAUUAAC